Molecule: ribosomal RNA, 491 nt
Filed under: uncultured bacterium
Lineage: Bacteria
Description: partial 16S ribosomal RNA
Rfam family: Bacterial small subunit ribosomal RNA
Source: RNAcentral
AGUGAACGCUGGCGGUAGGCCUAACACAUGCAAGUCGAACGGCAGCACAGUAAGAGCUUGCUCUUACGGGUGGCGAGUGGCGGACGGGUGAGGAAUACAUCGGAAUCUACUUUUUCGUGGGGGAUAACGUAGGGAAACUUACGCUAAUACCGCAUACGACCUACGGGUGAAAGCAGGGGAUCUUCGGACCUUGCGCGAUUGAAUGAGCCGAUGUCGGAUUAGCUAGUUGGCGGGGUAAAGGCCCACCAAGGCGACGAUCCGUAGCUGGUCUGAGAGGAUGAUCAGGCACCACUGGACUGAGGAAACGGCCAGGAUCCUACGGGAGGGCGGAGGUGGGAAUAAUGGACCAAGGGCGCAAGCCUGAUCCAGCCAUACCGCGUGGGUGAAGAAGGCCUUCGGGUUGUAAAGCCCUUUUGUUGGGAAAGAAAAGCAGCAGGUUAAUACCCCGCUGUUCUGACGGUACCCAAAGAAUAAGCACCGGCGAACUUCGU